GGGUCAAUGAUGAAAACCUAAUGUCGCGAAGUGAGGUGACGACAUUAAAAUCGUACUCAAUGGGAAUUAGCUGAGGCCC
Molecule: small nucleolar RNA, 79 nt
Organism: Acomys russatus (golden spiny mouse)
Lineage: Eukaryota; Metazoa; Chordata; Mammalia; Rodentia; Muridae
Product: small nucleolar RNA SNORD115
Exons: 1
Source: RefSeq, a predicted model, not a curated record